This 322-nucleotide ribosomal RNA is filed under the name uncultured eukaryote. RNAcentral's name for it is "partial 18S ribosomal RNA". It matches the Rfam family "Eukaryotic small subunit ribosomal RNA", at positions 1470 to 1796 of the family's 1831-position model. The record is from RNAcentral.
CCCUUAGAUGUUCUGGGCCGCACGCGCGCUACACUGAUGCAUUCAACGAGUUUCCUGGACCGAGAGGUCUGGGCAAUCUUUUUAAUGUGCAUCGUGAUAGGGAUAGAUUCUUGCAAUUAUUAAUCUUGAACGAGGAAUUCCUAGUAAACGCAGAUCAUCAAUCUGCAUUGAUUACGUCCCUGCCCUUUGUACACACCGCCCGUCGCACCUACCGAUUGAGUGCUCAGGUGAAUAAUUCGGACUGCAGCAAUGUUUGGAUCCCGAACGUUGCAGCGGAAAGUUUAGUGAACCUUAUCACUUAGAGGAAGGAGAAGUCGUAACA